GGGAUAUGAUAGGUGGUCAAUACUCGCAAUAAAAUAUGCGAGAUGGGCGUUCCAGCUCAGCCUGGUUACGACAAUUUGAGCGCUCUCGUUCAAACCAAUCUGAUCCC
This is a non-coding RNA of Solanum lycopersicum (tomato), 107 nucleotides long. The record is from Rfam. NCBI's taxonomy places the organism in Eukaryota, Viridiplantae, Streptophyta, Magnoliopsida, Solanales, Solanaceae.